GACGAACGCUGGCGGCGUGCUUAACACAUGCAAGUCGAACGGAAAGGCCCUGCUUUUGUGGGGUGCUCGAGUGGCGAACGGGUGAGUAACACGUGAGUAACCUGCCCUUGACUUUGGGAUAACUUCAGGAAACUGGGGCUAAUACCGGAUAGGAGCUCCUGCUGCAUGGUGGGGGUUGGAAAGUUUCGGCGGUUGGGGAUGGACUCGCGGCUUAUCAGCUUGUUGGUGGGGUAGUGGCUUACCAAGGCUUUGACGGGUAGCCGGCCUGAGAGGGUGACCGGCGACAUGGGGACUACGAGACGGCGCAGACUCCUACGGGAGGCAGCAGGGGAGAAUAUUGCACAGCGGGCGGACGCCUGAGGCAGCAGCGCCGCGUGCGGGAUGACGGCCUUCGGGUUGUAAACCGCUUUCGCCUGUGACGAAGCGUGAGUGACGGUAAUGGGUAAAGAAGCACCGGCUAACUACGUG
This 468-nucleotide ribosomal RNA is filed under the name uncultured bacterium. RNAcentral's name for it is "partial 16S ribosomal RNA". It matches the Rfam family "Bacterial small subunit ribosomal RNA", at positions 28 to 507 of the family's 1533-position model. The record is from RNAcentral.